Ribosomal RNA from Betta splendens (Siamese fighting fish), 119 nucleotides. NCBI's taxonomy places the organism in Eukaryota, Metazoa, Chordata, Actinopteri, Anabantiformes, Osphronemidae. The record is from Ensembl.
GCUUACGGCCAUACCACCCUGAGUACGCCCAAUCUCGUCUGUUCUCUGAAGCUAAGCAGGGUCGGGCCUGGUUAGUACUUGGAUGGGAGACCGCCUGGGAAUACCAGGUGCUGUAAGCU